UACGUAGGGUGCGAGCGUUAAUCGGAAUUACUGGGCGUAAAGCGUGCGCAGGCGGUUUUGUAAGUCAGAUGUGAAAGCCCCGGGCUCAACCUGGGAACUGCGUUUGAAACUACAAGGCUAGAGUGUAGCAGAGGGGGGUAGAAUUCCACGUGUAGCAGUGAAAUGCGUAGAGAUGUGGAGGAAUACCAAUGGCGAAGGCAGCCCCCUGGGUUAACACUGACGCUCAUGCACGAAAGCGUGGGGAGCAAACAG
Molecule: ribosomal RNA, 252 nt
Filed under: uncultured bacterium
Lineage: Bacteria
Description: partial 16S ribosomal RNA
Rfam family: Bacterial small subunit ribosomal RNA
Source: RNAcentral